UCAUACAGAAGUAGUUGUCUGGUUUUCUCUUUUCGACGGACUGAACGUUGGCGACAAUAAUAAUAUCUUCGCUCCAUUAAAAAAAGGCGAAGUUUAUGAAACUUGACUUCACCCAAGAGGGUGAAUUUAAAGUUGACAGGAACUACUUGACCCAUUACAACACAUUUCUCACCGACUUGAACCUCGUAGUGAAGCCUAUCUUCCCAACUCUUUGAGACAAGUAUAGGUUCUGAAGUCGCAACACUAGUACUACACGGGCUACGAAU
Molecule: non-coding RNA, 266 nt
Organism: Schizosaccharomyces pombe (fission yeast)
Lineage: Eukaryota; Fungi; Ascomycota; Schizosaccharomycetes; Schizosaccharomycetales; Schizosaccharomycetaceae
Source: the annotation of a GenBank genome assembly